AAGACUUCAGAAGGGUUUGAUGUCACUUCCUCCAGCUGCUCGUCAACAAGGUACAUCUGCAGCAGACUGUAGAGCUCUUCUUUUCUCCCACAACCAGCAUAAACCAGUAUGUUCUGUGCUAUAAUAAGUCUGAAUUUCCUGCUUUACUGGACAUCAGAAGAGAUGCAGUUCUUAUUUUCCUCAUAUGGGGGCGCUGUGCUGUUUAAACAUGUGGGAAACCUGAUCGCGUUUUACUACAACAGACACUGCUGCAAAUCUGCUCAAUAGACAUUCAGACGAUCAUCAUGAUCCGAGCUGCCAGUAUUAUAUGGGUUUUAAUGAUAUGUCCUGGAGGUUUUUCUCAGAGUAAUCCUGUUAAACAGAAUCCUCCUGAUCUCUUUGGCAAUCAUCAACAAUCUGUUAAAAUCCAGUGUGAGCACAGUGUACCAAGUUAUAAUCAAAUCUAUUGGUACAGACAAGACCAGGGACUGACCUUUAUUGGAUACCAGUGGGGUACAUCUUCAACACAAAUCGAAAAUGAUUUUACGUCUAAAGUGGAGAUUGUUGGGGAUGGAAACAAAAACGUCUCUUUGAACAUUAAAAAUCUUUUAUCCAAUGACAGUGCAGUGUACUUCUGUGCUGCUUAUUACACAGUGCUGCAUAUCUGCUUUAUUCAGUACAAAAACCUCUGUGUAAAUAUUCUCAGUAUCUCAUUAACACCUGCUCCUGUGGCCUGGAAUUGACACAUUGCCAGUGUUUUUAACAGAAAAGCCACACAUACAUUAUUACAGGCAAUUAUACUAUUGGUAUUAAAUCUAAUCUAUAAACGGUUCUAUAAACUUCAAACCUGCCUUUAAUAAUGUUAUACAAAUUGUAAGUUUAACUGUAAUAAAUUACAUCAUUUUCUUGUAUCCAAGUAACUUUUAGGUCAAGCAGAGAUCAGUCAAACUUUUGGUUUGUUUGAAUCUGAUUUUCCCGAAUCAGAUGUUCCUCCCUCUCCCAUAUAGAGGAGUUUCUCAGAUUCACAGAUUCUCAGAAGAUACACAUGCUGCCAUUGUCUCAGAUGAAGAGCCAAGAUGAACAUCAUUCUCAUUUUUUUAACUGCAUUAUUCAUUAGCCAUAUUAGAAAA
Tachysurus fulvidraco (yellow catfish) is the source of this 1109-nucleotide long non-coding RNA. RefSeq lists it as uncharacterized. The record is from RefSeq and is a predicted model, not a curated record. Lineage: Eukaryota; Metazoa; Chordata; Actinopteri; Siluriformes; Bagridae. The transcript has 3 exons.